RNAcentral lists this ribosomal RNA (425 nucleotides) under uncultured bacterium. Its description in RNAcentral is "bacterial SSU rRNA". It matches the Rfam family "Bacterial small subunit ribosomal RNA", at positions 356 to 773 of the family's 1533-position model. The record is from RNAcentral.
GGGGAAUAUUGCACAAUGGGCGCAAGCCUGAUGCAGCCAUGCCGCGUGUAUGAAGAAGGCCUUCGGGUUGUAAAGUACUUUCAGCGGGGAGGAAGGGAGUAAGGUUAAUAACCUUAUUCAUUGACGUUACCCGCAGAAGAAGCACCGGCUAACUCCGUGCCAGCAGCCGCGGUAAUACGGAGGGUGCAAGCGUUAAUCGGAAUUACUGGGCGUAAAGCGCACGCAGGCGGUCUGUCAAGUCGGAUGUGAAAUCCCCGGGCUCAACCUGGGAACUGCAUUCGAAACUGGCAGGCUGGAGUCUUGUAGAGGGGGGUAGAAUUCCAGGUGUAGCGGUGAAAUGCGUAGAGAUCUGGAGGAAUACCGGUGGCGAAGGCGGCCCCCUGGACAAAGACUGACGCUCAGGGGCGAAAGCGUGGGGAGCAAAC